This is a long non-coding RNA of Triticum dicoccoides, 1501 nucleotides long. RefSeq lists it as uncharacterized. Lineage: Eukaryota; Viridiplantae; Streptophyta; Magnoliopsida; Poales; Poaceae. The record is from RefSeq and is a predicted model, not a curated record. The transcript has 4 exons.
AUACAUGGAGCACGGGCUCUCGCCUCCUCUCUCACUCGCCGCCGCCACCACCCACGUCGGCCGCUUCUCCGGUGACCUCCGGCGCCGUGCAGCACGCCCCCGAGCUCCCCACGGUCCACGCCACCCUCCCCUCCGGCCAGAGUCUCUGCUCCCGUCCUCUACCGCCCGCUCGCAAGCCAAUCCCCCAUGGCUAGGGUUUCGGGUAGGGCUUCGCAGCCGCGUGUCCGGCUGCCCCAGGGGAUAAACAAGGGGAGGUAUAGCAGGGCGUUGGAAAUUUGCGGGAGUGGGGGAGAUCGAUGAGGACGAGGACUGUCUGGUGCACUGCUGGUGCGGGGAGGGCAGGGGAGAGGGAUGGCUGUUGCGCUGCUAUUAGCUGCAUAUAGUAUUGCUCCUUUCCUGUUGUUUGUUGAUUGAUGCUGCUGCUGCUACUACUUUGAUGCAGUUGCUGCUAAUUUGAUGUGGAGGACGUGCAGGGACGGACGACGAGCGAGCAGAGAUUUAUCCGGGACCUAAAUUUGGCAGGCAAAUGGGUGAGCUCCCACAUCCCUCUCGGUCUCCUUUGAUUUGUUGCAGAUUUCUUCGAAGCCCAUGACCUCUCUUGGGCCUUGGCAGUGGCGAGCUAGGUGCCGGCGAGGUAGGCGACAUCGUCAACGAGGGCCAUCAUGGCCUCCACCUAUGCCCUCUUGCAGGUGGACUGCUGGUCAUCGGUGCAGCGGGUCGGGCUCUUGCAGCAACAUCUAUGAUAUUCUCUGGACGAGCUGCAGGUAGGCCAGUAGAUGAGGAUUCGACGGCCACCACCGAGGUAUGACCUCCUCUCCUUGCCCUUGGGCUGGCAUCUCUGAUCAGGUUGUAAUCUGCUGCUGUAGUGUUGCUCUUUGGGGAUUCCUAUGGGAUCUAUUUUUGAUUGGUCAAAGCUGGUAUGUUGGCCACUGGUUGGUUUAACAUGAUGCUAUAAUGCGCUACGGAGAGAUAUGUUAUUCUAGUACAAGUGUCCGGUCAGUUAAUUUGAGGAUUUUUGCCUUUUGUUCUUCAGGCCUAUAGCUUUGUGGUUUCAGUCCAACAGUUAAAAGUUGUAUUGGCUUGUAAAAAUUUAUGUGACUGGACGAGUAGGUGAGGAUGAUCUCAUAUGGAAAAUACUGCUCCAUGGUAUUAAAAUCUGUUAUAGGUGUUGGAAGUCAAUGCUAGGAGCUCCUGGGAUCUGCUCAUGCAUGCUUGGUCGGAACUUUUCUUUUGAAUCAAUUGAUGAACCGAUGGCAUCAGAUAUGCCGUAUGUGUACUCCACUACGUACGACCGGGUGAAAACAAGUUUGAUCGAUGGAGAUGGAUUUCUAUCCUGUUGGUGCAAUUGUAUGUUCAGGUGGUUCUUUCAUGUCCGUUCUCUCUAGCUUCUUGAUGUUUUCUUUCUCAGGUGUAAUUUAGUUGCCAUUUGUAAUAGCCAAAUUUUCAUGUCAAACAUGAUUUAAAGAUUUUCUAUGCCAGUUGACAUGUCAUUUAUUUUCUA